Oncorhynchus keta (chum salmon) is the source of this 772-nucleotide long non-coding RNA. RefSeq lists it as uncharacterized. The record is from RefSeq and is a predicted model, not a curated record. Lineage: Eukaryota; Metazoa; Chordata; Actinopteri; Salmoniformes; Salmonidae. The transcript has 7 exons.
GGGCUGACUGUGAAGGCUCUGAGAGACUCUGGGUUGGUCUGAGAGAGGUGUUAGUGGGCUGACUGUGAAGGCUCUGAGAGACUCUGGGUUGGUCUGAGAGAGGUGUUAGUGGGCUGACUGUGAAGGCUCUGAGAGACUCUGGGUUGGUCUGAGAGAGGUGUUAGUGGGCUGACUGUGAAGGCUCUGAGAGACUCUGGGUUGGUCUGAGAGAGGUGUUAGUGGGCUGACUGUGAAGGCUCUGAGAGACUCUGGGUUGGUCUGAGAGAGGUGUUAGUGGGCUGACUGUGAAGGCUCUGAGAGACUCUGGGUUGGUCUGAGAGAGGUGUUAGUGGGCUGACUGUGAAGGCUCUGAGAGACUCUGGGUUGGUCUGAGAGAGGUGUUAGUGGGCUGACUGUGAAGGCUCUGAGAGACUCUGGGUUGGUCUGAGAGAGGUGUUAGUGGGCUGACGGUGAAGGCUCUGAGAGACUCUGGGUUGGUCUGAGAGAGGUGUUAGUGGGCUGACUGCGAAGGCUCUGAGAGACUCUGGGUUGGUCUGAGAGAGGUGUUAGUGGGCUGACUGCGAAGGCUCUGAGAGACUCUGGGUUGGUCUGAGAGAGGUGUUAGUGGGCUGACUGCGAAGGCUCUGAGAGACUCUGGGUUGGUCUGAGAGAGGUGUUAGUGGGCUGACUGUGAAGGCUCUGAGAGACUCUGGGUUGGUCUGAGAGAGGUGUUAGUGGGCUGACUGUGAAGGCUCUGAGAGACUCUGGGUUUAGGUCGGUGAGGAAGUAGUCU